RNAcentral lists this long non-coding RNA (292 nucleotides) under Homo sapiens (human). RNAcentral's name for it is "non-protein coding LINC01625:4". The record is from RNAcentral. Lineage: Eukaryota; Metazoa; Chordata; Mammalia; Primates; Hominidae.
CCCAGAUGCUGGUGUGUACGUGUGCAUAUAAGCCCCAACAGCUAGAAAUCAAGCCUUUCUGGCUUCCGAUUGUUGGAGAAGUGGAAACAGUUAAUGGAGUAUGCAAUGAGAUUCUGCCAGAAACGGAGUAGAAAAACUGUGGCUCACCCGGGACCCAGUCUUUCCCCAGGUUCCCCACAGAUGAGCUCUGAAUCUGUUAUAAUUGACUCACCACGACCUGCAUGUACACAUGGAAUUCCUCAUGGCAUCCUUAGAUCUUUUUUGCCACAUCCUUUUGCUCUGACUCGAAGAG